This 584-nucleotide ribosomal RNA is filed under the name uncultured bacterium. RNAcentral's name for it is "bacterial SSU rRNA". It matches the Rfam family "Bacterial small subunit ribosomal RNA", at positions 338 to 916 of the family's 1533-position model. The record is from RNAcentral.
CCUACGGGAGGCAGCAGUGGGGAAUUUUGGACAAUGGGGGCAACCCUGAUCCAGCAAUGCCGCGUGAGUGAAGAAGGCCCUCGGGUUGUAAAGCUCUUUUGUCAGGGAAGAAAAGGUUGCGGCUAAUAUCCGCGACUCAUGACGGUACCUGAAGAAUAAGCACCGGCUAACUACGUGCCAGCAGCCGCGGUAAUACGUAGGGUGCAAGCGUUAAUCGGAAUUACUGGGCGUAAAGCGUGCGCAGGCGGUUUUGUAAGACUGUCGUGAAAUCCCCGGGCUUAACCUGGGAAUGGCGAUGGUGACUGCAAGGCUAGAGUUUGGCAGAGGGGGGUAGAAUUCCACGUGUAGCAGUGAAAUGCGUAGAUAUGUGGAGGAACACCGAUGGCGAAGGCAGCCCCCUGGGUCAAAACUGACGCUCAUGCACGAAAGCGUGGGGAGCAAACAGGAUUAGAUACCCUGGUAGUCCACGCCCUAAACGAUGUCUACUAGUUGUCGGGUCUUAAUUGACUUGGUAACGCAGCUAACGCGUGAAGUAGACCGCCUGGGGAGUACGGUCGCAAGNUUAAAACUUAAGGAAUUGACGG